AGGAUAAUAGUUAACAAAUAACAUUUAAUUUGCAUUUAAAAAUUAUUAGCCAAGCUAAUUUAUCUUA
This 67-nucleotide transfer RNA is filed under the name Tribolium castaneum (red flour beetle). RNAcentral describes it as "tRNA-Ala". Lineage: Eukaryota; Metazoa; Arthropoda; Insecta; Coleoptera; Tenebrionidae. The record is from RNAcentral.